This is a long non-coding RNA of Portunus trituberculatus (swimming crab), 984 nucleotides long. RefSeq lists it as uncharacterized. The transcript is spliced from 5 exons. NCBI's taxonomy places the organism in Eukaryota, Metazoa, Arthropoda, Malacostraca, Decapoda, Portunidae. The record is from RefSeq and is a predicted model, not a curated record.
GAGGAUGAGGGCGGAGGUCGUCUUUCUUCUCUUAUUUCUUCGUCAGCGGCAGUAGGAGGCGCAUCUGUUAUCGCGUGUAAUCCAGCCUUUCUGCGUUUCUUCAGCGUGCUAUCCCGUGAUGAAAGCCUCGGUGUUUAAAAUAACUCCUUAGAACACUGGACGGACUAACGACUUAAAGGUUGUGGUGGGUAUACUGCUACUAGUGUCCAUUCCAAUACCCCAGCUUCUUAACAGAAGUCCUGGGGAGGCAAGAGGCAUCUAAUUAUCUCUUGAAAGCUGCCCAGGAGGAGGGAGGGUGUUCUGGCGGCAACACCCAGGACAAGGGCACAGCAGAGGCAAGAGGAUGUUGCUGCUCCACGAGGUACUGGUCCCAUUCUUGCCUGGAAAGUCUUGUGGCAAAUAAAUUGUGCUUGUGAGAACACCAUUACCAACUGUCGUUUGACCAGUACUGCUGCCUGUCCAGACCUCAUCCUGGAUUUGUAUUGACAUCCAGCAUGUGCAUUCCUGCUGUGCCUUAAGUGUUUUGUGCUUGGUGAAUCCCUGUGCUGCUGGGAACACUACCACCAAUUCCUGCUCUCCCAGGACUCUAUAUCUGCCUGACUCCAGUGCUGCACUCCCAAGACUUCCCUGUCUGCCUGACUCCAGUGCUGCACUCCCAAGACUUCUUGUCUGCCUGACUCCAGUGCUGCACUCCCAAGACUUCCUGACUCCAGUGCUGCACUCCCAAGACCACCUGUCUGCCUGACUCCAGUGCUGCACUCCCAAGACUUCCUGCUGUACGUGAUGUGUUCAGUGUGUCAGACUUGUGGUCUUGUAGUGUUGCAAGUAAUGAGCUUCCCAAUUCAGAAGUCCUAGACUCCCUACCUCAGUGACAUUGUGAUUUCAUUUCAUUUUUUUUUUUAUAAAUUUUUAUCUGAAUCUGUAUUUAUUUUUCUCCGGAGAGUCUUUGAGGUAUGAAAUUAUAAAAUAAAAUAAGGUAUGAGA